AUUCCAGCUCCAAUAGCGUAUAUUAAAGUUGUUGCAGUUAAAACGCUCGUAGUCGGAUUUCGGGGCCUGCCUGCCGGUCUGCCGAUGGGUAUGCACUGGCAGGCGCGUCCUUCCUUCCGGAGACUGUCCCUACUCUUAACUGAGCGGGGUCGGGAGACGGAUCGUUUACUUUGAAAAAAUCAGAGUGUUUCAAGCAGGCAGCUCGCUCUUGCAUGGAUUAGCAUGGGAUAAUGAAAUAGGACUUUGGUGCUAUUUUGUUGGUUUCGAACACCGAAGUAAUGAUUAACAGGGACAGUCAGGGGCACUCGUAUUCCGCCGAGAGAGGUGAAAUUCUCAGACCAGCGGAAGACGAACCACUGCGAAAGCAUUUGCCAGGGAUGUUUUCAUUA
RNAcentral lists this ribosomal RNA (389 nucleotides) under Haptolina sp. RNAcentral's name for it is "partial small subunit ribosomal RNA". It matches the Rfam family "Eukaryotic small subunit ribosomal RNA", at positions 582 to 975 of the family's 1831-position model. The record is from RNAcentral. Lineage: Eukaryota; Haptophyta; Prymnesiales; Prymnesiaceae.